Molecule: ribosomal RNA, 263 nt
Filed under: Methanosarcina sp. enrichment culture clone H03
Lineage: Archaea; Methanobacteriati; Methanobacteriota; Methanomicrobia; Methanosarcinales; Methanosarcinaceae
Description: partial 16S ribosomal RNA
Rfam family: Archaeal small subunit ribosomal RNA
Source: RNAcentral
CCUUGGGUCCGGCAUAACCCCGGGAAACUGGGGAUAAUUCCGGAUAACGCACAUAUGCUGGAAUGCUUUAUGCGUCAAAUGGAUUCCUCUGCCCAAGGAUGGGUCUGCCGCCUAUCAGGUAGUAGUGGGUGUAAUGUACCUACUAGCCGACGACGGGUACGGGUUGUGAGAGCAAGAGCCCGGAGAUGGAUUCUGAGACAUGAAUCCAGGCCCUACGGGGCGCAGCAGGCGCGAAAACUUUACAAUGCGGGAAACCGUGAUAA